Long non-coding RNA from Homo sapiens (human), 968 nucleotides. Lineage: Eukaryota; Metazoa; Chordata; Mammalia; Primates; Hominidae. The record is from Ensembl.
GGGCAUUUAUAAAACAGCAUGUAAGCAUCUCUGCAGUUGCUGUCCCCAGAGCCCACUUCCUGGAUAUUGCCAGCUGCCUGGACCAACCUUUCCGAAAGAUCAGCCAGGUCACAGUGAGGGUCAAAGGUGAGGCAACACCCGGCCUGCUUCAGCUUGCCCCCCGUGGGCUGCACCCACUGUCCAACCAGUCCCAAUGAGAUGAACCAGAACAUUGGCAAGCACGUUGAUAGAGUGCCCACAUUGUACUGAACUCUGAGGGGAAUAGUCUCGUCCCCAUCACUCAGGUGGGGAAACUGAGCAGGAGGCCACUGGAGGCUCCAAGGGCUCUGAAAUGUUGAGAACUUCCCUGCAGGUACCAGCGAAGAGGGCAAGAACACAGCACUACUUCCUUGGAUACUGUUUCCCUCCUCAGAGGGGUUUUCUGAGCUGCCCUGGGUCCUGUGAGGAAGAAGUCCUAGCAGAGUAUGCCCACGCUGGUUAGUGCUGCUGCAAAGAUGAGCCGAAGACCAUGAGAGACCUCCAGGUGGUCCUUCUGGGGAGAAGAAAUGGGUUUUGGCCCCAAAUCCUUCUGCUGCAUUUUUCCCCUAUCCCUGGGAAGCCAUGAGACCUCAAACCUGUGUUCCCAAGGAGGCGAGCUGCUGUUCCCAGGUGAUGAUAUGAUGUGCUUGGGGAAAGUAAGUGGCUGCCAGACAUGGCUGAGAGCUGUUGUCACUGCCGUCAAGUGCAUGUCUCCAAGCCAUAUCACACGGCGUCCCUCGAUGUGAGGCCACAUGGCAAGUGGGCCGUGGAUCUCCCUCUGCCCUUUGCAAGCACGUAAGACAGCAGAUUUUGCAGAUACCUUGUGGCGCAGGGGAAUUUCCUUUGGCCAGGUCUGAAGAAAUAAAGCAGCAGGCACCGAGAACAAAGCCAAGGCUUUCAAAAGACAAGGAGCCAAAAAACUUACUCAAAAUAAAAGUAGUUUUAAAAUG